AAGCAUGCCAAAUUAAUCACACUUCUUAAACACAUCUCUUGACCGGGGUGUUCUCACCAUGCCCUUUCUACAAACAAAAAAAUGAAGAUGUGGAGACCUGGAGACAGGUGGCACCUCGUGCUUCCUCCGAAGGGAGAGCCCAUUUCCUAACAGCUGGAUCAAAGGCAUGAAAUGAACAUGGAGUCCCUGAAGAUGAAGAGAAGUUACAGGAAUGCAGAUGUGAUUCCUAUGGAUGAGGGUAACCUAGAGGCUAGAAGAACAAUAGGACAGAAGAAGCCUGGGUCCCUGAACAACCUUGUGGAGCAUAGACACCUACGUGGCCUGGACUGCCAGCUCACAAUGGGCCUCUCUGUGAGAGAAGGAAACUUCCCUCUUGUUUAAGCAACUGUGCUUUUGAGAAUCUCUUGGUCUAUACCCUAAUGAAUAAGGCCAUCAUAAAUGGAUAUCAAAGUAAGGAAAUUUGUGUAAAUGAUUUAAUAAAACAUUACCUCAGGUAUGAAAUAA
RNAcentral lists this long non-coding RNA (504 nucleotides) under Homo sapiens (human). RNAcentral's name for it is "long intergenic non-protein coding RNA 2269". The record is from RNAcentral. Lineage: Eukaryota; Metazoa; Chordata; Mammalia; Primates; Hominidae.